CUUGUUUUUCUCUUUUAGCCUGGCUACCCAGGGGUUGCUUCUGGGUCAUCAUAAGCCACUUAUUCAUCAGAGAUUGGAUUUAAACCUCCUUGGUUGAUUAGAUUCCUUGAUAUAUGUGGCAUGGAGGCUGCAAUCACAAUUCAGGGAGUUUACGUUUUGACCCACAUACUGGUAGCUUGGAUUUUCUUCUCUGUGGUAACUCCUGAGAGAGCACAGCCUUAGGUAUGCACAUAGUCUUCCAGAUUACCAGGGAUGUGCAUGAUUUUAUUUUUAAUCCUGGCUUCCUAGUAGUUGCCUCUGAGUCAGAGUAGUUUAUUGUUCAAGCAGUAUUUGUUCAGAGGUUGGCCCUAAGCCCCUAGUGCUGGUGGGGCUUCAGCUGUUUGCUGAUGGAUCUGUGUUCUGGUUGGCAAAUGAUUUUCAGUCUUCCUGUUCCUGAGCAGGUUCAGCCUGGGGCUUGCACACAAACUUCUAGAUGACCCAGAGAUAAGUGUGAUCCAAGGAGGGCUCUUCUUGGCAAUCUUUUUCCCUGAUUCUUCCUGUUAAAUUUCUGGUUGUUCUGCCAUUUUGCUUGUUGCUACUAGUAUUAUGGAGCUAUGAGCAUACUCUUUAAUUUUCUCCACCAAGAUCUCUGUUGUUUCAGACAACAUCAUUGAGCUGGAAUUCUUUAUCCUCUCUUCUAAAUAAGGUCAGUCCCUUAAAUACAGCUGGGGAGGUUUUCAUCCUGCCUUUCCUCCGAACAGAACUUCUGCACCACUGCACAGAAGCUGGAGGUGGAGACAGAAGCCCACUUCUAGAAUGACACCCUGCUCUACAGACGGAGUCUCGCUCUGUC
Molecule: long non-coding RNA, 832 nt
Filed under: Homo sapiens (human)
Lineage: Eukaryota; Metazoa; Chordata; Mammalia; Primates; Hominidae
Description: HSALNT0366288
Source: RNAcentral